GUACUCAAAUUUGGCAGCACAUAUACUAAAACUGGAGCAAUACAGAGAAGAUAAGUAUGGCCCCCAAGCAAGGACGACACGCAAAUUUUUGAAGCAUUGGGAAAAAAA
Artibeus jamaicensis (Jamaican fruit-eating bat) is the source of this 108-nucleotide small nuclear RNA. The record is from RefSeq and is a predicted model, not a curated record. Lineage: Eukaryota; Metazoa; Chordata; Mammalia; Chiroptera; Phyllostomidae.